Molecule: long non-coding RNA, 1827 nt
Organism: Perognathus longimembris pacificus (Pacific pocket mouse)
Lineage: Eukaryota; Metazoa; Chordata; Mammalia; Rodentia; Heteromyidae
Exons: 2
Source: RefSeq, a predicted model, not a curated record
UAAAUCACGAGCUUUAUCAUGGCUAUGUAGUUUCUUCCCACCCAUCUCUAUAUGCUCUCUCAAAGUAAUGGAGAAAUGACAUAAUAUUAAAAAACAAAUAAUUAGCAGUAUAUAUCCACAAUGUAUCUAGUAGAUUAAGAAGAAAUGUACUCAGAAGUAAAUAAAUGAAUGAAAAGUAGUGUGGAAAUAAAUAUCAAUGCAGCACAGUGAGUAUAUUCAAAUUUCCAAAAAAAGAAAAGAAAGAUAUAGAAAUAUUUGACAUUUUUCUUACACUGAAUACUUCCUUGAAAAGCAAAGUUUCUUUUUAUAAGCCAUAAUCUCAGAGGACUGCAUCCUAUGAUUUUGUUCUUCAAUGCAACUUUUUGCAUUUAUAACUUUAAGAUACCCCUAAAACUUAAUGUCAUAUUCAAAAUAAACAUAGGAAGUGUGUGUAUCGUGGGGGGAGUGGAACUGAUUUGGCUCCAAGAUUAGAAUAAUGAAUAUAUUAAUAAUAAUCCAGGAGGAGGAGCUUCAUUUUUCCAUUGUUUUCUUUAAAAUGCAUGCAAGGGAAAGCUGGCCAUUGUCUUCUUUUCCUCUCUUGCUGCCCUCAUCUUGUCCUCUCCUUCCAUCUUGCUUCUCACCGUACACCCUCACCCCAUUCUCUUACACAGAAUGACCUUCAUUUUUCUCAGGAGAAUUCCAGGACAAGCAGCUAGACUGUGCAAAGGCCAAAAUGGAGGAGGAGGAGGGACUCCUGAAGCCCUUUCAGAUACUGAAUGAUGGAAAAAUACAAGAGAGAACUUGAAAUUUCAUAUGACAAAGAGUAAGCAAAACAUUUCCCCUUUCUAGACAUAAGUUGUCUUUAAUACAUGAAAACUAGAUUUCCUUUCACCAUAGAAUUCCAAUGCACUCCGAAUAACCAUGCCCUUCAUAUUCAAUAGUAAGAACUGCCAUGGAGAACAGAGGUCCAGGCUGACCAUUCACAAUACCAAUCUUUGAGUAGAAUGCCAGACAUUUCUGCCUUCUUCAUGAGUAUUAAUUCUAUCUGGUCUGCCAAGUCCCUGGUUCCCCUGGGGCUUUGAUUCUGUUGACGGGCGGCGGGGGGGGGGGGGUGGUGGAGACGGGGGGGGGGGGCUUGGACAGCACAAUAAUAGCAAGUGAAUAUUUGCACAGUCAAAUAUAUCCUCCUGGUGCAUUGUCCUACCAUAUUACAUUUAUUUUUCUUUAUGUCUUAUGUAAGUUUUUCUUCUUCAAAAAAUUUUAAAUUAUUAUUAAAUAGUUGUACAAAGAAGUUUCAAGUCAACAUGCAUGUCAGGUUUGCCCAUGGCACCUCCAGCCUCCUGGCUGCAGGGGCCAAUCAGGGUGAGGAGAGAAGAGCUGGCAAAAGGGCAGGUGCUCUGACUCUUGUCACUGUUGCCAGCCCUGGGUCCUAAGUGCAGUGUUACAGCCUCCUUCCUCCUCCCGCCUUCCCCCCCCCCCCCCCCGCCCCCUUCUCACUUUCUCUGACAUAGCACUCACCGGCCACUAUGGACUCUGUUCCUUUCAUGGCACAAAGAAAAGGGUGGGAAAUGGGCUGCUAGCCAAUCCCCAAUCGUAACCUCCUAACAUUACUGGUACCUGUCUAGGGGCAGCCUUUCACUGGGCCAACAGCUGGAAAGGAGAGAACCUUUUAAUGUGACAGAGUUGCAAGAAGGCCACCUUACAAAACUGAUUCCCAGAGCUCUUCUAUGAGCUGAUCAGCGAGAGUUUGUAGUCAAGUGGAUGAAACAAUGCCACAUUAUGAAUACCUGAUUUCCAAAUACCCAUGCAGGACUCAUGCCACAGCCAAUCAUAAUAAUUGUCACAUCA